AUUCUCUUCAGUUGAAAGGUGAAUAUUUAUGGUUCUGUAAAUAAACAUACUUUCUCCACUGGAUUUGGACCUGGUGUAAUUGUAGUAUUUCAUCGAAUUCUCUAUGCAAGGUAUGCAUUUGAUUAUCAGACAAGAAACAAUUGGAAACCAGUUUUUGUUUCACUGCACUGUUAAAGAAAAAAUAGUAAUAUUGACAGUAGUGAACUGCUCUGUAAAAACAAAAUCCAUUGACGAGUGUAUUUCAUGUGUUCUUGUAUGCCAAUCUGUUCUGUAUACAUAAUUUUACUCUUCCAUUUUUUCAUAUGCACUCAUAUGAAGGAAUAUCCUCCCAUUUAUCAUGUGAAAGUUCUUUAAUUUUCAACAUGAUUGAUUCCUUAUCUUCUGCUCUGCAGGACACAAAAAUAAAUU
This 408-nucleotide small RNA is filed under the name Vigna angularis var. angularis. Its description in RNAcentral is "Non-protein coding transcript". The record is from RNAcentral. Lineage: Eukaryota; Viridiplantae; Streptophyta; Magnoliopsida; Fabales; Fabaceae.